GGAAGUAAAAGUCGUAACAAGGUUUCCGUAGGUGAACCUGCGGAAGGAUCAUUCACAAUAAGUGUUUUAUGGCACUUUUUAAACAAUUCAUAUCCACCUUGUGUGCAACGUUAUGAGAUCCUCUAUCGUUAUCUUUUAGGUUACGGAAGAGGGAACCUCUACAACUUACCAACAUCACCUUUAACGUAUUUGUCUGAACAUUUGUUAUCACGAAUUAACUUAAUUCGAAAAUACAGCUUUCAACAACGGAUCUCUUGGCUCUC
Molecule: unclassified non-coding RNA, 263 nt
Filed under: plant metagenome
Description: partial contains small subunit ribosomal RNA and internal transcribed spacer 1
Rfam family: Eukaryotic small subunit ribosomal RNA (bases 1-54)
Source: RNAcentral